Molecule: ribosomal RNA, 433 nt
Filed under: uncultured bacterium
Lineage: Bacteria
Description: partial 16S ribosomal RNA
Rfam family: Bacterial small subunit ribosomal RNA
Source: RNAcentral
AACGAACGCUGGCGGCAUGCCUAACACAUGCAAGUCGAACGAAGCCUUCGGGCUUAGUGGCGCACGGGUGCGUAACGCGUGGGAAUCUGCCCCUUGCUUCGGAAUAACAGUUAGAAAUGACUGCUAAUACCGGAUGAAGUCUUCGGACCAAAGAUUUAUCGGCAAGGGAUGAGCCCGCGUAGGAUUAGGUAGUUGGUGGGGUAAAGGCCUACUAAGCCGACGAUCCUUAGCUGGUCUGAGAGGAUGAUCAGCCACACUGGGACUGAGACACGGCCCAGACUCCUACGGGAGGCAGCAGUGGGGAAUAUUGGACAAUGGACGCAAGUCUGAUCCAGCAAUGCCGCGUGAGUGAUGAAGGCCUUAGGGUUGUAAAGCUCUUUUACCAGGGAUGAUAAUGACAGUACCUGGAGAAUAAGCUCCGGCUAACUCCGUG